AACGAACGCUGGCGGCAUGCCUAACACAUGCAAGUCGAACGGGAUCUUGACUUCGGUCAGGUGAGAGUGGCGGACGGGUGAGUAACACGUGGGAACCUGCCUUUUGGUUCGGGAUAACCGCGGGAAACUGCGGCUAAUACCGGAUACUCCCGAGAGGGGAAAGAUUUAUCGCCAGAAGAGGGGCCCGCGUCCGAUUAGGUAGUUGGUGGGGUAAUGGCCUACCAAGCCGACGAUCGGUAGCUGGUCUGAGAGGAUGAUCAGCCACACUGGGACUGAGAUACGGCCCAGACUCCUACGGGAGGCAGCAGUGGGGAAUAUUGGACAAUGGGCGAAAGCCUGAUCCAGCAAUGCCGCGUGAGUGAUGAAGGCCUUAGGGUUGUAAAGCUCUUUUACCAGGGAAGAUGAUGACUGUACCUGGAGAAUAAGCCCCGGCUAACUCCGUGCCAGCAGCCGCGGUAAU
This 460-nucleotide ribosomal RNA is filed under the name uncultured bacterium. Its description in RNAcentral is "bacterial SSU rRNA". It matches the Rfam family "Bacterial small subunit ribosomal RNA", at positions 29 to 524 of the family's 1533-position model. The record is from RNAcentral.